UGGCGGACGGGUGAGUAACGCGUGGAAAACCUGCCGUAUACUGGGGGAUAACACUUAGAAAUAGGUGCUAAUACCGCAUAAGCGCAUAGCUUCGCAUGAAGCGGUGUGAAAAACUCUGGUGGUAUACGAUGGUUCCGCGUCUGAUUAGCUAGUUGGUGGGGUAAUGGCCUACCAAGGCAACGAUCAGUAGCCGGCCUGAGAGGGUGAACGGCCACAUUGGGACUGAGACACGGCCCAAACUCCUACGGGAGGCAGCAG
Molecule: ribosomal RNA, 258 nt
Filed under: uncultured bacterium
Lineage: Bacteria
Description: partial 16S ribosomal RNA
Rfam family: Bacterial small subunit ribosomal RNA
Source: RNAcentral